This is a long non-coding RNA of Malaclemys terrapin pileata, 2892 nucleotides long. RefSeq lists it as uncharacterized. The transcript is spliced from 3 exons. NCBI's taxonomy places the organism in Eukaryota, Metazoa, Chordata, Testudines, Emydidae. The record is from RefSeq and is a predicted model, not a curated record.
CAAGAAACCAGGCAGGGAAAUUACAUCUUCUUAAGUAUAUCUGAACUAAGCAUCUAGUCUUGCAGAAAUAUGUCCAGGAAGUGGAUCUCUUGUGUGGACUGGUCCAGGCUCCAGCGCAUUAUCCACGAUCUACAACCUAUCCUAGAAAAUGAUCCCUCACUCUCACAGACCUUGGGAGGCAGGCCAGUCCUCGCUUACAGACAACCCCCCAACCUGAAGCAAAUACUCACCAGCAACUACACACCACACCACAGAAACAUCAACCCAGGAACCUAUCCCUGUAGCAAACCUCGUUGCCUACUCUGUCCCCAUAUCUACUCUGGAAACAGCAUCACAGGACCCAACCACAUCAGCCACACCAUCAGGGGCUCAUUCACCUGCACAUCCUCUAAUGUCAUAUAUGCCAUCAUGUGCCAGCAAUGCCCCUCUGCCAUGUACAUUGGCCAAACCGGACAGUCCCUCCGCAAAAGAAUAAAUGGACACAAAUCGGACAUCAGGAAUGGUAACAUACAUAAGCCACAGACCAGCUUGAAGGAACAGGGAUGAAAGUCAUGCGAGGUCCAUUUCUGUCCACUGGAAUAUAUGCAAUUGGCUUCAGGUCAAAUAAAAAUAGAAUAUGAGCAGAGGCAGCCACCCAUCAACAGUGAACCGGGGAAGAGGGAAUAUGUCAUUUGUGGCAGAAGACAGCUGUAACAGUCUGAGAAGAUUUGAAAUGACAACCAAAUAUACGGUAAAUGUAUUCUGUUUAUUUCAAAAUAAAAGAGCCUCAAAUCAUGUAGAAUCUUAAAAGCCAAUUCGUAAUACACUAUGUAGAAUAUGUUUUGCAUUCAAAAUGGCUUCAAUAGAAUAAUCUUUCUGAAUAAUGUGUUAGUGAUUAUCACUGUUUUUCACACUUUACCAAAUUUUACUAAUUGUUUUUCAAAUUUUACCAGAUUAAGCAGGCAUUGACCAGAAGAAUCUUUAAUGUCAGGAAGGAUGUGCUUUGCUUUCUGAGGAAUCAGGCUUGUAAGGAUCCUGAUAAUGAGAUAUCUAUUUUCAUAACAUUAUGCAGAUGUAAUUCAGUAUCCAGAAGAAAUACUGCACACUUGUGUUAGAAAAGUGUAUGAAAUAUCGCAAAGGGUUCUUAUCGAAGCCCCCCGUUUAAUAUCUGGGAUUUAACUCAGAAGUUAAAUAAAUAAAUUAAUGGAGAUAUCCCAUCUCCUAGAACUGGAAGGGACCUCGAAAGGUCAUCGAGUCCAGCCCCCUGCCUUCACUAGCAGGACCAAGUACUGAUUUUGCCCCAGAUCCCUAAGUGGCCCCCCUCAAGGAUUGAACUCACAACCCUGGCUUUAGCAGGCCAAUGCUCAAACCACUGAGCUAUCCCUCCCCGCAAGUUGGCUUUCAUAAUGUCAAUCCUGUUCUUAAAAAGGGGGCGGGGGGAAGAGCAUCCAUGUUAGCAUAGUGGGAUGUGUGUGGUGGUUGGUAAGCACAUUGACAUAUACUGGAGGUACCCAAUAUUUGUAUUACUGUAAUGCGCAGAGGUUCCAAUCAGGUUUAAGACCCCAUUCUGCUGUAUCAACAUCAGACCUGGUCCCUUCUUUGAGCUGUUUACAAUCUAACAAUCAUUUUAUUUUUCUCUCCUCUUUUAUUUGCUUUUAUUAUCAUGCAGAAUUUUCACCAUGUAUAAUUCAACAUUUGUUAAUUGCUCUUUGCACUCAAAUCCAAUGUAUUACUUAACAGCAACUGAGAAUCUCCAAAUUUAGGCCCCAGUCUUACACUGAUUGUAUGCAGGUAAACUGAAGCACAUGUGCGUAGGCCUGGCUAGACAUGAGUAAUUAGACAUGGGUAAGGUCUCAUUUCUUGGGAGACAGGAUUAGGGACGUAAAUGGAUCAGAAGGCUGGAAAUAGAUUGUCUGUGCUAAAAUAGGUAAAUGGCUCAGUAAGCUAAGAGGCAGAACAUCCAGAGGACCAUUUACAAUGGACAAAAUAAGCUGGAACAUAAGAUGAGGCAAAGAGUAAGUCGUAGAUGGACAGUGCAUGGACAGAGAAUGCUGUACAGGACGUGGUUCCUACAAAGGAACCAAGCCAAUCCCAAAACGUGUGAUGCAAUGUAUAGUAAGUACAAGGUAAUCUGGAAACGUAUAUAAAGAAAGAGGUUUUCAGUGUGAUUUUGCAUGUGGUAUACCCUAUACCCACCUCUACACUUGAGUCUGAUCAACUCAAUGUAACUUUGCUGAAUGCCAAAUAAAAAUACCCGAGUGACAAAAUCUGGAGUCAAACUGAUUUCUUGGGAAGCUGAGUGGAAAGAGAUCUUAGGAGGAAAUUCCAGCUGUGUGCAGACUCCCAUUGACAAUAAUGGCGCUGUGUGCAGAUACAGUGGAAUGUCAAUAUACAUUCAAUUUCUGGAUAAGGGCCUUAUUGCCUCCAUAUAGCUACACUCUUGAAGCUUUAGGGAUUUCCACAUUAAAAAGCAAUUUGACCUUAAUUAGGAUUGUGUGUCUUAACAUGGUGUCCACAGCUAUAUAAAGGAGACCAACAUAUAUUGUCGUCAGAUUGAUUGUCAUGGUUAUUAAAUUUGAAUAUUUAUAUUAUAAUAGUGCAUAAAGCCCCAAAUUGUGGGCUGAGCACUAUACAAACACAUAUAAAAAGAAACAGUCCUUGCACUGGAAAGCAUAUGCUCUAAAAGACACAGGAACGGACAAAAGGUUAACAGACACAUAAAUAAAUCCGGGACAGACACAAUUUUGCUUAAAAAAGUUCAUAAGCACUCAAUAGUUCAGAAAUAUUUAAAAAAAAUCAUUUCUCAUGACAUUCUAGUAUUUCCUGCUGCCAGUCAGUCUAGGAAUACUGCAACAGCAGCUUCCUGUGUAGGUGCUUUGCUAAUGUUCCUAUCCAGAAUUCAGAAAUGCAGAG